AUGAACGCCGGCGGCGUGCCUAAUACAUGCAAGUCGAGCGAACAGACGAGGAGCUUGCUCCUCUGACGUUAGCGGCGGACGGGUGAGUAACACGUGGAUAACCUACCUAUAAGACUGGGAUAACUUCGGGAAACCGGAGCUAAUACCAGAUAAUAUAUUGAACCGCAUGGUUCAAUAGUGAAAGACGGUUUUGCUGUCACUUAUAGAUGGAUCCGCGCCGCAUUAGCUAGUUGGUAAGGUAACGGCUUACCAAGGCGACGAUGCGUAGCCGACCUGAGAGGGUGAUCGGCCACACUGGAACUGAGACACGGUCCAGACUCCUACGGGAGGCAGCAGUAGGGAAUCUUCCGCAAUGGGCGAAAGCCUGACGGAGCAACGCCGCGUGAGUGAUGAAGGUCUUCGGAUCGUAAAACUCUGUUAUUAGGGAAGAACAAAUGUGUAAGUAACUAUGCACGUCUUGACGGUACCUAAUCAGAAAGCCACGGCUAACUACGUG
RNAcentral lists this ribosomal RNA (496 nucleotides) under uncultured bacterium. Its description in RNAcentral is "partial 16S ribosomal RNA". It matches the Rfam family "Bacterial small subunit ribosomal RNA", at positions 29 to 507 of the family's 1533-position model. The record is from RNAcentral.